UGGGGAUUGGUGUAAUGGCAACACGCUUGACUCUGGCUCAGGUACUCGGGGUUCGACUCCCUGAUCCCCAACCA
RNAcentral lists this transfer RNA (74 nucleotides) under Bacteroidota bacterium. Its description in RNAcentral is "Bacteroidetes bacterium (marine metagenome) tRNA-Gln". It matches the Rfam family "tRNA". Rfam says of the family: Transfer RNA (tRNA) molecules are approximately 80 nucleotides in length. Their secondary structure includes four short double-helical elements and three loops (D, anti-codon, and T loops). Further hydrogen bonds mediate the characteristic L-shaped molecular structure. tRNAs have two regions of fundamental functional importance: the anti-codon, which is responsible for specific mRNA codon recognition, and the 3' end, to which the tRNAs corresponding amino acid is attached (by aminoacyl-tRNA synthetases). tRNAs cope with the degeneracy of the genetic code in two manners: having more than one tRNA (with a specific anti-codon) for a particular amino acid; and 'wobble' base-pairing, i.e. permitting non-standard base-pairing at the 3rd anti-codon position. The record is from RNAcentral. Lineage: Bacteria; Pseudomonadati; Bacteroidota. RNAcentral also lists the same sequence under 2 other names.